Molecule: ribosomal RNA, 494 nt
Filed under: uncultured bacterium
Lineage: Bacteria
Description: bacterial SSU rRNA
Rfam family: Bacterial small subunit ribosomal RNA
Source: RNAcentral
CGAACGCUGGCGGCAUGCCUAAUACAUGCAAGUCGAGCGAACAGAUGAAGUGCUUGCACUUCUGACGUUAGCGGCGAACGGGUGAGUAACACGUAAGGAAUCUACCUAUAAGCGGGGGAUAACAUUCGGAAACGGGUGCUAAUACCGCAUAAUAUCUUCUUCCGCAUGGAAGAAGAUUGAAAGACGGCUCUGCUGUCACUUAUAGAUGACCUUGCGGUGCAUUAGUUAGUUGGUGGGUAACGGCCUACCAAGACGAUGAUGCAUAGCCGACCUGAGAGGGUGAUCGGCCACAUUGGGACUGAGACACGGCCCAAACUCCUACGGGAGGCAGCAGUAGGGAAUCUUCCGCAAUGGGCGAAAGCCUGACGGAGCAAUGCCGCGUGAGUGAAGAAGGCCUUCGGGUCGUAAAACUCUGUUAUAAGAGAAGAACAAAUUGUAGAGUAACUGCUACAGUCUUGACGGUAUCUUAUCAGAAAGCCACGGCUAACUACGUG